AAGCAGUUCCAUUGGGAAAUGCUGGUUCUUUCUGAAAGCACAUGGCCAGCCACAAUGUCCCGAGAUGGCUGCCUACACACCAAUAUUAUAAAAUGUCAUGACAGAAUUCCUUUAGAGGGGGCAGUACCAGGAUUGUUCUUAUAAGUGGGCCAAUCAUUUUGUAAUAUAUUUGCUAUUACUUCCCAUUCUUUAUGUGCCUCCCAUUAGUAUGCUCCACCAAAUUUUCUAAAAGUUUGCUUUACUGGCUAAUUACUUUAAAAUGCCUCCUCACAGGGCCAGAGUUACAUUGAUCCAUUGAUUCGACUUAUUGGAAGUUAAUCUGUCCAUGAUUGUGACAGCAAUUUGACAAGGCCGAAGCAGAAGGUCAGACACACAAGUGUAAGGAGCUCCCAGUAAUGAGAAUCACUGUACAAUUUGAGUGAGCAACAAAAAGGAGAGCAGAACGAAACACAGCUGACUGUUCCUUACCCAUACUGACACAGGCGUUGAACGAAGGUGAAACGCAUCAGGAUGCACAGGGUGAAAACACCCAUCUGUAUGAGCCCUUAAACAGGGGGAAAUCACAAAAUUGUACUUGUACAUGCAUUAAAAAACUCCUAAAUGCAAUGCUGUAUAUGUAUUUUGAUAUGUUCAUGCAUGCAUAUCCACAUUCGUGUCUGUAAGAGUCCUAAGUCUUUAGACAUCAGCUCUAACUACAGUAAUUCGUGUAAUAGUAUAAUUGAACUGUUGAGAGCGAAGCAUUUUACAGCACACUAACAACUCAUUUGGAUUGCAUCAUUUAUUGAAAAAAGAAAGGAAGGUUUGCCAGACAAUGGUAUUAACUAAUUGCCCACCACACUAUGUAGUUGCAACUAGCCAGAAAGGCAUUUACCAGUUUGCACAUGCAAAUUGGUAGUGGGAGAUUCAGUUAGAUCCCUUUUCAUUGACAUGCUAAUGUGCUGUACUUUGCCCCACGUAUGCUCCGGGAAAGAAUUUACGUUGAGUGUGUAGAACAGAUGUCUCCUUUGUUUUUCAUUUGAGAUGAUGCCAGUGAGGGUAAACAAUGUACACACUUCCAAAUAGAAUAAAGCCUGAACAUAGUAUUCACAAAAGUGUAGGAAACUAAAACUGGAGUAAGAGGAGUCUAUGAUGUUAGGAGCCAUACACACAGACAUUUAUGCUUGCCCCUGUACUCACAGCACUGUGCUGAACCAGCAAAUCCAGGUGUGAUGCAAAAUGAAGUCUGCAGUCAGAGGAAGAGCACAGUGUUGUGAGUACAGGCAAUAUAGAGAAGAAUGGGCUCUGAAAAUGCACGUGGGUUCCUGUGAGUGUAAAAAUUAAUACAAUAAUAACCACCUUUGUAUGAGGGCCCUAUGAGUUUACAAAAAGAAAGUGAACACCAAAAAAAUCUUACUCCAGUUUCAAGAAUUCAUUUUUAUGAAUUUAAGGAAUUACAGUUUUUUUGGUGUGUGUCAUUAACACUUGUUAACAAUGUCAUAUUCAUAAAGAUUGAGAUGAAUUGGUAAAGCUGACUUACACUAACCUUUUGAAGGGAAAUCACAAAAAAAGAGCACAUAACUUGGACUAAGAAAUUGUAUUGGGCUCAAAUUGAGUUAAAAGACUAAAGCUGUCCAUAGACGCAAAGAUCCGAUCGUUCGAAUCUUCGAACUAUCGGACUUCCCCAUCUCCCGACCUGCCACUAACCAUUCAGAUCAAAUAAAGUAGUAAAAGAACAGAUCAGCUGAUGUUCUGCCCCUGAUAGCAAUCGUAAAAAAGUACUGAAAAUCAACAGACAAAAUUGGUGUAAGUUUUUUUGGAGGUAUCAAUGCCAUUUUGCUGCAGUUAAUAACGUUGCAUUCAAAAAGAUGGCAUUAAACUGGCAAAAUUGCUUUACUAUACCUUUUUCAUAAAAUCAAAAAAACAUUUUGCAGUAGGGUGGUGCAGAAUUUUUUAUUUAGAUAUUUGUGAUUGAUUUCAUGGUGUAAACAAACAUGUUACACUAAAUAAAGAUAUUUUGUCUGUGAG
This is a long non-coding RNA of Xenopus laevis (African clawed frog), 2004 nucleotides long. RefSeq lists it as uncharacterized. The transcript is spliced from 2 exons. NCBI's taxonomy places the organism in Eukaryota, Metazoa, Chordata, Amphibia, Anura, Pipidae. The record is from RefSeq and is a predicted model, not a curated record.